UCGUGAGAUUGCAGUAUUUUCUUGGACUCCAUCCGAAGGCUGAUUGCAUUUCGAAGUUUGGUACCAUGUUCUUUGGAGUGUAGUGUGUACUCAUUGUCAGCUUAAAAAUACGUAUCGCGUCUGUCUCGUUCGGACACAUAGCGUAUAGAAUAUCAAGGGACAAUAUCAAUUCCACCUUACAACAGUGGUUCUGCGGUCGUUCAAUUUCAACAGAGGGUAACGAAAUUUCAAGAUGUCAGCAGCGAACUGCCUAUUACAUUCUCUUGGGUUGAAAGAAAGACGGAGAUGAAAGGAAAGCAGGGUUACGACGAUGGAACCAGUGGACCGCUGUGCGUCAACCAGGAUGCUGUGGGCAGCCGGCCAGAGGAAACGAGGGUGACCAGGACCAGGACCGACGGGUAAACCAGGAUGGUCGGAACGAGACCUGCAGGAAACGAGGACCAUGUCGAGGUAAAGGUGGAUGAGUAAAUUCAACGAGCCUCCACGUCCAAUCAAUCUUCAUGGAAAACGUGGGACUUCUGUCAAGUGAUUUCAACAUGAGAUUCCAGACCCCAGAAUGUGAUCAUUCUUUGUAGAAAAUAUUUGGACACCUUCAGAAACCGCCAACACAGGUAAACGAUGAAGCCUCAAGACACUCCUCGUGAAAGCUCCUGGUAUCCUCAAGUGAUUCGCUGAUGUUAUUUCAGUUAACCUUAGCCUCCCCCUAUUCCAUUCUUACCCCCUCAAAAAGCUCCUUAAGUCGAACUUACUGCUCUCGCAUAAUUUAAUUUCACGUCUAAAGCGUUAGCACAGCGAACAUCAUUUUCCGUGUAUAUCACUGGUAUCACGAGAAGUAUAUUUUGAAUUUCAUACCUAAAGCCGCGAAAGGCUUGUCACUGAAUAUCUCUGCCAAAUAGUCGCAUUCUGAAAUGAAUUUUACUGGCAAUCUGAA
This is a long non-coding RNA of Cephus cinctus (wheat stem sawfly), 931 nucleotides long. RefSeq lists it as uncharacterized. The record is from RefSeq and is a predicted model, not a curated record. NCBI's taxonomy places the organism in Eukaryota, Metazoa, Arthropoda, Insecta, Hymenoptera, Cephidae. The transcript has 3 exons.